AAAUUCACGUCUAGUUAGUGAUUAGUUCUCGCAGUUGAAAGAAAAACGUAAAAAUAAUUAAUAAUCAUGGAUAUUUCGGCCUUUAAAAUUUCAUCAAAUUUGACAAGUACGUAUUGUUAGUGUGAGUGACGGCUGACUGAGUAUACCGGCACAAAUGAGAACUAUAUAUAAAUGAUUAACGCUGUCGCAGCAAAAUAACCGUGAGAUGGCGUUAUUUAUUCUUUUCAAAUUGGAUAUAUCGUAGUAGAAUAUACAUGAAUCAUUUAAAAACACAUCAAAUAUGAUAUGCCUUUUAAAUAAUUUUGUAAUGGGAAAAAUAGAAAAUAGAAAUGAGGAGAAUCACUAACUUUUUAUCACGACAGAGGGCGCACUGUACCUUGGCUUGACAAAACAAACGUCAAAUCGUAUGACGUAUCACUGAGUGUUUAUGAAUAUAAUAUACUUUUGUUCCAAAUGCCUCAAUGCAGUGCGUUAAAUUGUAAAAACAGAGGAAUACAUUUAUUUCCAAAGGAAAGUAAACGUAGAAAGCAAUGGGAAUCUGCGUUACGUAUAAAAAAACUUCGAAGCUAGUAGCACAGCACGAUUGUGUGUUGCGCAUUUUACAGAAAAAGAUUAUUACGGGAAAAUCAAUUAUACAGGUUAUGAGCUCCUUGCAAAAUUUCUUAAAAAGACAGCUGUGCUAUCUGUGUUCUUCUUAACGAAGAUAAAACCAGAAAAUCCAGCUGCUGUGGCACAUCAACAACGUAUUGAACGAAGAAGUCAGUCGAGUAACAAAUGUAGAUAAUUCACAACCAUCAAGUAGCAAAGUUAACCUAAUAAGUGACAGAGACAAUUUACUGGAAGUUGAUCAUGAAGAAGCAGUCAAAACAGAAGACAACAGUGCAGUAGGAUGUACAUAUAUUAUGCAUGAAUUUAUAUCUAAGGGCACUCAAGUUGAUCAAGAACACAAAUAUGGGUUUAUGAAUAGAUAUAAAGAUGAUAAUGCCACUAUUAAGUUUUACACAGGUUUUGAAUCAUAUAAAAAAUUUAAUUUAGUCUACUCAGCUCUUAGUCCAGUGGUUCACAAAAUAAAAUAUUAUGGCAGCAAUGUGAUUAUUCUUAGCAGUGAUUCUAAUUCUAAUUUAUUAGUUGGUGCAAUACCUGGUAGCUUGCUGUUAUAUUGUUCCCAAGCAUUUGCAGGAUUGAUAAGUGAUCAGUAGGCAGUGGAACAAAGUGACCUUUUAGCAAAAUGUGAAAGUGGUAGUAGUAUACUGACUGACAGAGGAUUUAUGAUACAAUAUAUAUUUCAUCAGACAAAAAUGUGACCAUUAGGAUUCCCAGUUUCUUAAAAGAAAAAUUUCAGUUGCCUGGUCUUAAUGUAAUAAAAGAUAGGGAGCUUGCAAACAAAGGAGUUCAUAUAGAAAGAAUAAUAGGAUUAACAAAGACAAACAAAAUUUAAAAAAUGAAUUAGACCAUAACUAUAUCCCAAUAGUGAGCAAAAUCUUUUUUUAUGUUUUAUGUGCUAAACAUCUACAAUUUCAGGAAUUAUACUAUUACUAUAUUGUGAAAGAUAUUAGAUAAAAAGAUGUAAUUAUUUCAAUUUAUUUAUUAAUUGUAAAUAGUUCUUAUACACAUACUUAUUUACAUUUCUGGUUCUAAAUUAUGUACAUAAAAGUUUAACAAAUUUGUCAACAUGCCAUUAAUAAAUGAGUCAUCUCUA
Molecule: long non-coding RNA, 1699 nt
Filed under: Manduca sexta (tobacco hornworm)
Lineage: Eukaryota; Metazoa; Arthropoda; Insecta; Lepidoptera; Sphingidae
Description: uncharacterized LOC119189353
Source: RNAcentral